CCUACGGGGCGCAGCAGUGGGGAAUAUUGCACAAUGGGGGAAACCCUGAUGCAGCGACGCCGCGUGAGUGAAGAAGUAUUUCGGGAUGUAAAGCUCUAUCAGCAGGGAAGAAAAAAGACGGUACCUGACUAAGAAGCCCCGGCUAACUACGUGCCAGCAGCCGCGGUAAUACGUAGGGGGCAAGCGUUAUCCGGAUUUACUGGGUGUAAAGGGAGCGGAGACGGCGCGGCAAGUCUGAAGUGCAAGGCAGGGGCUU
RNAcentral lists this ribosomal RNA (256 nucleotides) under uncultured bacterium. RNAcentral describes it as "partial 16S ribosomal RNA". It matches the Rfam family "Bacterial small subunit ribosomal RNA", at positions 338 to 610 of the family's 1533-position model. The record is from RNAcentral.